GGGAGAUAGCUCAGUGGUAGAGCACAUGCGUGGCAUGCAUGAAGUCCUGGAUUCAAUCCCCAGUACUUUCA
Molecule: transfer RNA, 71 nt
Filed under: Camelus bactrianus (Bactrian camel)
Lineage: Eukaryota; Metazoa; Chordata; Mammalia; Artiodactyla; Camelidae
Also listed under: 2 other names
Rfam family: tRNA
About the family: Transfer RNA (tRNA) molecules are approximately 80 nucleotides in length. Their secondary structure includes four short double-helical elements and three loops (D, anti-codon, and T loops). Further hydrogen bonds mediate the characteristic L-shaped molecular structure. tRNAs have two regions of fundamental functional importance: the anti-codon, which is responsible for specific mRNA codon recognition, and the 3' end, to which the tRNAs corresponding amino acid is attached (by aminoacyl-tRNA synthetases). tRNAs cope with the degeneracy of the genetic code in two manners: having more than one tRNA (with a specific anti-codon) for a particular amino acid; and 'wobble' base-pairing, i.e. permitting non-standard base-pairing at the 3rd anti-codon position.
Source: Rfam by way of RNAcentral